CGUAACGAUUCUACUGGAGUUGUGGCCUGAGCCGUGGCUUCGGAGCUAACGCGUUAAGUAGACCGCCUGGGGAGUACGGUCGCAAGAUUAAAACUCAAAUGAAUUGACGGGGGCCCGCACAAGCGGUGGAGCAUGUGGUUUAAUUCGAUGCAACGCGAAGAACCUUACCUACUCUUGACAUCCAGAGAAUCCAGCGGAGACGCAGGAGUGCCUUCGGGAGCUCUGAGACAGGUGCUGCAUGGCUGUCGUCAGCUCGUGUUGUGAAAUGUUGGGUUAAGUCCCGCAACGAGCGCAACCCUUAUCCUUGUUUGCCAGCGAGUCAUGUCGGGAACUCCAGGGAGACUGCCGGUGAUAAACCGGAGGAAGGUGGGGACGACGUCAAGUCAUCAUGGCCCUUACGAGUAGGGCUACACACGUGCUACAAUGGCGCAUACAGAGGGCAGCGAGCCAGCGAUGGUAAGCGAAUCCCAAAAAGUGCGUCGUAGUCCGGAUUGGAGUCUGCAACUCGACUCCAUGAAGUCGGAAUCGCUAGUAAUCGUGAAUCAGAAUGUCACGGUGAAUACGUUCCCGGGCCUUGUACACACCGCCCGUCACACCAUGGGAGUGGGCUGCAAAAGAAGUAGGUAGUCUAACCUUCGGGAGGACGCUUACCACUUUGUGGUUCAUGAG
RNAcentral lists this ribosomal RNA (669 nucleotides) under Vibrio lentus. Its description in RNAcentral is "bacterial SSU rRNA". It matches the Rfam family "Bacterial small subunit ribosomal RNA", at positions 801 to 1475 of the family's 1533-position model. Lineage: Bacteria; Pseudomonadati; Pseudomonadota; Gammaproteobacteria; Vibrionales; Vibrionaceae. The record is from RNAcentral.